GCAGCUCCCAUGCCCUUAUUUGCCACGUUUUCCAAAGCAAACAAUGAGAAAAAGCCCUGCUCAGGCAGAGCAAGAUUUGAGAAUGAACCGGGAGUUCUUUGGGUGCAAUGGCCUCUGAAAUGUUUGCUGAGAUAAGAGCACAACUAAGCACCCUGUGGAAUUUAACGCUUUGGGGAGUCAUCUGAGGCCGUGGAGCUUUGCUGACUUGUUUGCCUGUGCUAUCUUCCUGCUUGGUAAAACCAUCUUUUUGUUUGAGGGAUUGGGCAGUGACAGCCCAAGGCUGCUUUGGACACUCCAGGGUGGCUGAAAAUUCCAGAAUGGAAACAGCGCUGGGGCUUGAGCACUGGGCUGAGCAGGUGGCAGAUUUUGCUGUGGACGCUGUUCCAGUCAGUUUUCUGGAUUUCUCCACUCAGAGCCCCUGGGCUGCCUGCAGGGUACCCAAAACAUGAUAUUCCCAAAUGUCUCAAUUUCACAGCUCCCUCCUGCCCCAUCCCCACAGCUCCCUGUGCUAAAAUCCCAAAACAUGAUAUUCCCAAAUGUCUCAAUUUCACAGCUCCCUCCUGCCCCAUCCCCACAGCUCCCUGUGCUAAAAUCCCAAUAAUGAUAUUCCCAAAUUUCUCAAUUUCACAGCUCCCUCCUGCCCCAUCCCCACAGCUCCCUGUGCUAAAAUCCCAAUGAUGAUAUUCCCAAAUUUCUCAAUUUCACAGCUCCCUCCUGCCCCAUCCCCACAGUUUUCUGUGCUAAAAUCCUUAUUUAAAUCACUCCCUGAACUCCUGAUCCAGCUCAGUUUGAACAAAUCCAACAAUGGAAAAUCAAACCAAGCCACCCUUGUGGGAACUGCCUGAGCUUCAGGCUCUCUCCAGGCUCCAUCCUGGCUCUGUGGAGGAUGCUGAGCCCAUCCCUGCCUCCUGAGCCUUGCCCCACAUCUCAUCCCUGUGUCUGUGUGUCCCAGGGACAAUCCCUGCCUCUUCCUUGUGUCCCACACCACACUCCAGGCUUUGUCCCUGCUUCUCUGUCCUGUUCCUGCCUCCUACAUUUCAUCCUGGGCCUUGUCCACGUGUCCCAAGCCUCCUCCUGUGGCUGUUCCUGCUUCCUGGGCCUCACCCUUGAUUUAUUAAAAAUGUGGAUAUUGAUCUAGUACUGAUAUCCAACUGAGAGGGACAAAAAUUCUCUAACAGUUUAAAGUUAGAAAGUGUGUGUUUAUUUUGGGAUGGCUCCCAAACACACACCCCAGUUUACAGGUGAUUACAGAGUCCUUUUAUCUAUACAGGUACUGAAUACCCAAAAUACAUAUUCAUGACUUUGGCACAUCCCAUUCCCCAUAUGGAUACUGAUCUGGUACCAAUAUCCAACUUAGACAGACAAAAACUCUCUAAGAGUUCAAAGUUAAAAAGUGUUUGUUUAUUGCAGGCUAAUUCCCAAAUACACACUGCAAUUUACAGGUGAUUACAGAGCCCUUUUAUCCAUACAAGUAUUGAACACCCAAAAUACAUAUUCAUGACUUUUACAUCCCAUUCCCAAUAUGGAUAUUGAUCUAGAACCGAUAUCCAAAAAUUCUCUAACAGUUUAAAGUUAGAAAGGGAAUGUUUAUUGCAGGAUAAUUCCCAAAUACACACUGCAAUUUACAGGUGAUUACAGAGCCCUUUUAUCCAUACAAGUAUUCAUUUAAAGGUGAUUACAAAGUUCUUUUAUCUGUACAAAUACUGAAUACCCAAAAUACAAAUGCACAUUCAUAACUUUGGUACAUCCCAUUCCUCACUUCGUUAGGUAAUUAGUUCAAAAGCUAUUAAGCAUGGUAAUUACUUCAAAAGCUAAUUAUGCAUGAGUAGUUUGUUCCUUGAAAUAGGUCGGUGGUCCCUUUCAUGGGGAGGGGUCCCAAAAUGAGGAAAUAAAUGAAGUCAUUCUCCAUCUGACCUUUCUACCUUUUCAAUGCAAAUGUGACAAAUGAACCCGUGGUAGAACUCCCAUUCCUGUCUUCAAUUGGUUUCAGAGCAGAGGAGGCCACAAUUGUCUGAUGUUCCUAAAAACAAUUGUUCCUAAAAGCUAUUUAUCAGUUUCUAUAAUGAAGAAUCAUUGUACACACAGCUAACCAAACAUUAUGUUGACAAGCAAUCAAUUAUUCGUUAAUUACUAACUCUUAACUUCAUCAAGGCCUACCCAUUUAUUUUGAUUAACUCCAUUAAAGCUUAUCUCUAACCAAAACCUCAGCUCCUGUAAAAUCUCUAAAUUCCUUAGAGUUGAUGCCUCACCCUGGCCCUUCUUCCCAUGCCCUGUGCUUUGUGUCCUGAGCUUUUUGUGCCUCUCGUCCUGUCCAGAGUCUGUCCCUGCAUUAUCCUGAAUGCCAAUCCUCAUCCCAAGCGUUCUGCCUGUGUCUCGGGCUCUCCCUGGAGGAAUCCCUGCCUCUUCCUUCCUGGGCCUCAUGCUGAAUCUUCAUCCCAACCUUGCUGCCUGUGCCUUAGCCCCACCCUGGAGCCAAUCCCUGCCUCCUCCUUCCUGGCCCUCACGCUGAAUCCUCAUCCCAACCUUUCCAGGCUCUCCCCGGAGCCAACCCCUGCCUCCUCCUGCCCUGUCGCUGUCCCCCGGGCAGUCUCACCAGUAGUAGGUGAGGCGGCAGCCGGGGCAGCGCAGCGGCGCCCCUCG
Long non-coding RNA from Melospiza melodia melodia, 2640 nucleotides. RefSeq lists it as uncharacterized. The transcript has 5 exons. NCBI's taxonomy places the organism in Eukaryota, Metazoa, Chordata, Aves, Passeriformes, Passerellidae. The record is from RefSeq and is a predicted model, not a curated record.